Molecule: ribosomal RNA, 694 nt
Filed under: uncultured archaeon
Lineage: Archaea
Description: bacterial SSU rRNA
Rfam family: Archaeal small subunit ribosomal RNA
Source: RNAcentral
CAAGGUUUCUGGAAUGAGCCAUGGCCGAAAUCUAUAUGGCCUUUGGAUUGGACUGCGGCCGAUCAGGCUGUUGGUGAGGUAAUGGCCCACCAAACCUGUUACCGGUACGGGCUUUGAGAGAAGUAGCCCGGAGAUGGGCACUGAGACAAGGGCCCAGGCCCUAUGGGGCGCAGCAGGCGCGAAACCUCUGCAAUAGGCGAAAGCCUGACGGGGUUACUCUGAGUGAUGCCCGCUAAGGGUAUCUUUUGGCACCUCUAAAAAUGGUGCAGAAUAAGGGGUGGGCAAGUCUGGUGUCAGCCGCCGCGGUAAUACCAGCACCCCGAGUUGUCGGGACGAUUAUUGGGCCUAAAGCAUCCGUAGCCUGUUCUACAAGUCCUCCGUUAAAUCCACCUGCUCAACAGAUGGGCUGCGGGGGAUACUAUAGGGCUAGGAGGCGGGAGAGGCAAACGGUACUCAGUGGGUAGGGGUAAAAUCCAUUGAUCUACUGAAGACCACCAGUGGCGAAGGCGGUUUGCCAGAACGCGCUCGACGGUGAGGGAUGAAAGCUGGGGGAGCAAACCGGAUUAGAUACCCGGGUAGUCCCAGCUGUAAACGAUGCAGACUCGGUGAUGGGUUGGCUUCGCGCCAACCCAGUGCCGCAGGGAAGCCGUUAAGUCUGCCGCCUGGGGAGUACGGUCGCAAGACUGAAACUUAA